ACUUCUGCGAAGCAUCUGCCAGGAUGUUUUCAUUAAUCAAGAACGAAAGUUAGGGGAUCGAAGACGAUCAGAUACCGUCGUAGUCUUAACCAUAAACGAUGCCGACCAGCGAUUAGGAGACGUUGAAUACAAAACACCACCAUCGGCGCGGUCGUCCUUGGCGUCUGUGUCCCUUUCAACGGGGGCAUGGGGCGAGGGCGGUUUAGCCCGGUGGCACCGGUGAAUGACUCCCUAGCAGCUGGUAAGAA
This 248-nucleotide ribosomal RNA is filed under the name Acanthamoeba castellanii. Its description in RNAcentral is "partial 18S ribosomal RNA". It matches the Rfam family "Eukaryotic small subunit ribosomal RNA", at positions 938 to 1096 of the family's 1831-position model. The record is from RNAcentral. Lineage: Eukaryota; Discosea; Longamoebia; Acanthamoebidae.